This 494-nucleotide ribosomal RNA is filed under the name uncultured bacterium. Its description in RNAcentral is "partial 16S ribosomal RNA". It matches the Rfam family "Bacterial small subunit ribosomal RNA", at positions 28 to 507 of the family's 1533-position model. The record is from RNAcentral.
GACGAACGCUGGCGGCGUGCUUAACACAUGCAAGUCGAACGGUGAAGCGCCUUCCUUUUUGGUGGGUGUGGAUGAGUGGCGAACGGGUGAGUAACACGUGAGUAACCUGCCCCCUUCUUCUGGAUAACCGCAUGAAAGUGUGGCUAAUACGGGAUAUUCUGGGUCUGUCGCAUGAUGGGUCUGGGAAAGAUAUUGUUUCGGUGGGGGAUGGGCUCGCGGCCUAUCAGCUUGUUGGUGGGGUGAUGGCCUACCAAGGCGGUGACGGGUAGCCGGCCUGAGAGGGUGGACGGUCACACUGGGACUGAGACACGGCCCAGACUCAGACGGGAGGCAGAAGUGGGGAAUAUGGCACAAUGGGCGAAAGCCUGAUGCAGCGACGCGGCGGGAGGGAUGGAGGCCUUCGGGUUGUGAACCUCUUUCGCCAGUGAAGCAGGCCUGCCUCGUUUGUGGGUGGGUUGACGGUAGCUGGAGAAGAAGCGCCGGCUAACUACGUG